Molecule: ribosomal RNA, 255 nt
Filed under: uncultured soil bacterium
Lineage: Bacteria
Description: partial 16S ribosomal RNA
Rfam family: Bacterial small subunit ribosomal RNA
Source: RNAcentral
UGGGGACGACGUCAAGUCAUCAUGGCCCUUAUGUCCAGGGCCACACACGUGCUACAAUGGGCGGUACAAAGGGUCGCAAACCCGCGAGGGGGAGCCAAUCCCAAAAAGCCGCUCUCAGUUCGGAUUGGAGUCUGCAACUCGACUCCAUGAAGUUGGAAUCGCUAGUAAUCGCGGAUCAGCACGCCGCGGUGAAUACGUUCCCGGGCCUUGUACACACCGCCCGUCACACCAUGGAAGCCAGCUGUACCGGAAGUC